UAAGAGCUUACCCCCCCCCCUCAAACUCGUCUCUCUCAAUUCCCCAUUCUCAGAGACCACAGCCCCAAAACCCUAGCGCUGCCUCAAUUUUCCACCACCCAAGUCGGCGGCACUGCCUCAGAUCAGUCCCAAAUUAACACCCCAGAAUCCCUAUAGUUCCCUCGUACCAAAUCUCUAAUUACGUUUCCUUGAAUAUGCCCAGAACUUCUCGAAUCUUACAUCCGAGUUCGAACCCUAAAAGUCUAAGAUCAUUUUCCAUCGAACCCGGUGGCAUGCAUGGUCAUAGGGUGUUGUUUCUUUCAAGCUUUGAAGUUUUGAUUCAACAAAAACUGAUGUCGUUCAGUUGUUCUUGACAAAGAACAAAUGAUCGACAUUAGUUUUGUUAAGUCAUUUGUCUCCGGUAGGUUCUGAUUUCUGAUUUGAUAAGUUCCCUUCACACUUUUUGUCCUUUCUUGUCACUAUCUUAUUUUUCUUCUCCUUCCCCUUUCUUUAGUUAGUUUGCUUCUACUAAUAUAGCUGAAACUCGACCAAUCCUCUGAGUUUAAAUUGUCUCCUGUUCGUUUUUCCCUUUGUGAAAGCUUGUUCUCUAAUUUUUCUUAGUCCGUUAAGUUUUUGUUAUUAGCCUAAUUAAAGUUCUGAUUUCAUUUCUCGUUUAGUCACCUAGUUUAAUUUAAUUAGGUUAUUUUGAUAAGUUAGUCAAUUUUCUGCUUACUUGUGUUUAGUAAUCGUUCAAUUAGUGUAUGUUUGGUUUUUGAAAUUAUUCAAGUAUUCUCCCUCUAUUUGUUUACUGUUUUGAUUUAGUUUCAUUUUACUGUUUGGGCUUUGAAGCUAUUUCAGAUCUCACUCUAAGGGGUUGAUUUAGGUUAUUGGGUCAGAAUUGAGCACAUAUUUGGUUUAACUAUUGGGUCAAUUUGACCCAUGACCCAUGAGAUUUCUGGGGUAAUUAACAGGGCUUAAAGGGGUAAUUCAGGAACUCUAGGAGAAAGAAUCUCUGGUAACCAACUUAGAAAGCUUCCUAGAAGCUGGGGUUGAGGCUUAAAUGAAAAUAUGAUUUUUACACUAAGAGUAUCUAAGCAAAAAAUAAAAAUUUGAAAAGGUUUUAGGUGCAAAAACUUAGCUCAUCUCUGCAGCCCUAGAAGCUUGCAUAUAAAGGCAUCCUUACUUGAGGUUCAAGGCAGAGAUUAGAGAUAAAAAACUCCUAAAAACUGAAACGGCUAGCACUGUGAAAUAUCCCUAAAUUCCCUGCAUUUCCUUGUUGAAAACUACUCAAAUUUUGCUCGGUAUUUUUUGGUUUCUGAACCUCAUUGCUUGGUUAAAACUAUUGAAAAUGACAAAGUCUUGCAUUUGGGUCGAAGUGGAUUGAGUUUUGGAUCUUUAAAGUUUGGGUUUAAGCUGGUUUCACUACUGUUUCCAUUGCUGGUUUUAAAGUUGAUUUUUGUUAUUCCCUUUCAUUGGUCUACUGCUGUUAUUGUUUCUUCCUGAUUCUCCAGCUUGAUUUUCUUGUUUUGUCUCGCUAUAUUCAGGUACUUACUCCUGAGCUCUGCUGAAUGUGAAGUCAGAUUCAAAGCAUGAAAUGGAAAUGGAAUUUAGAGCAUAGUUUCAACUAGUCGUUAUAAUUUAGUUGUAUUAUAUUGUGCUUUGAUUCACUUUGCCUUUUAGUUAAUUUCUGGUCUUUGAUAACUGAACUUCAUCCCUGUAUUUAAUUUUAGGACUGUUAAAAAAAUUGCUAUAGUAGAAGGUUCAGUCAAGUUAUAGGUGUUAUAUUUGCAUUUAAGUUCUGAUGGAAACAAUGAAUAAAUGCUUGCCUUCACGGUUUUAGAUGAACUAGUACUCUAUUUGUGUAAAUAUGCCAUCCUUAGUAGGUUUUGCUCAAGUGAACUGAGAUACUAUCCUUAUGAAUGAGGUGUGAGUUCAGC
RNAcentral lists this long non-coding RNA (1916 nucleotides) under Nicotiana tabacum (common tobacco). Its description in RNAcentral is "long non-coding RNA (NTAB_LNC000527)". Lineage: Eukaryota; Viridiplantae; Streptophyta; Magnoliopsida; Solanales; Solanaceae. The record is from RNAcentral.